ACGGAAGGCAGCAGUGGGGAAUAUUGGGCAAUGGGCGCAAGCCUGACCCAGCGACGCCGCGUGAGUGAUGAAGUAUUUCGGUAUGUAAAGCUCUUUAAGCAGGGAAGAUAAUGACGGUACCUGCAGAAUAAGCACCGGCUAAAUACGUGCCAGCAGCCGCGGUAAUACGUAUGGUGCAAGCGUUAUCCGGAUUUACUGGGUGUAAAGGGAGCGUAGGUGGUUUGGCAAGCCAGAAGUGAAAACCCGGGGCUCAACUCCGUGGAUUGCUUUUGGAACUGUUGGACUAGAGUGCAGGAGGGGUAAGCGGAAUUCCCAGUGUAGCGGUGAAAUGCGUAGAUAUUGGGAGGAACACCAGCGGCGAAGGCGGCUUACUGGACUGUUACUGACACUGAGGCUCGAAAGCGUGGGGAGCAAACAGGAUUAGAUACCCUGGUA
Molecule: ribosomal RNA, 435 nt
Filed under: uncultured Lachnospiraceae bacterium
Lineage: Bacteria; Bacillati; Bacillota; Clostridia; Lachnospirales; Lachnospiraceae
Description: partial 16S ribosomal RNA
Rfam family: Bacterial small subunit ribosomal RNA
Source: RNAcentral